UCCGGCGUAGCUCAACCGGCAGAGCGGGUGGCUGUUAACCACUAGGUUGGGGGUUCGAGUCCCUCCGCCGGAG
This is a transfer RNA of Fervidobacterium nodosum Rt17-B1, 73 nucleotides long. It matches the Rfam family "tRNA". Rfam says of the family: Transfer RNA (tRNA) molecules are approximately 80 nucleotides in length. Their secondary structure includes four short double-helical elements and three loops (D, anti-codon, and T loops). The record is from Rfam. NCBI's taxonomy places the organism in Bacteria, Thermotogati, Thermotogota, Thermotogae, Thermotogales, Fervidobacteriaceae.